AAAGGGAGACCUAAUUCAGGUAGGAGACGAAAAAAAAGUAGUCCCUACCAAGAAUCAAUCCCAAAAGGUCGGAGCGAGGCGAAAUUGGCUUUCAAACUAGGUUCUGGGUUCACACAAGACCUGAAUCAGGAACAAGGGCUAUUAGCUCAGGUGGUUAGAGUGCACCCCUGAUAAGGGUGAGGUCCCUGGUUCGAGUCCAGGAUGGCCCACCUGUACAGGUGGCAAAAAGAAAGAAAAGAAGCGAGGAAUCAGCACCUUAUCUUACUUAUAUAGUAAGAGAGAAUGCUGGCUCUGAGUUCAGAGUCCAGAGGAACCUUGAAAACUGCAUAGAGCUAGGUGAAAAAGCCAAAAAAGAAGACCGCAAG
RNAcentral lists this transfer RNA (365 nucleotides) under uncultured Microcystis sp. RNAcentral describes it as "partial 16S-23S ribosomal RNA intergenic spacer". The stretch from base 136 to 209 matches the Rfam family "tRNA". Lineage: Bacteria; Bacillati; Cyanobacteriota; Cyanophyceae; Chroococcales; Microcystaceae. The record is from RNAcentral.